RNAcentral lists this long non-coding RNA (444 nucleotides) under Sinocyclocheilus anshuiensis. RNAcentral's name for it is "lncRNA (ENSSANG00000049159.1)". The record is from RNAcentral. Lineage: Eukaryota; Metazoa; Chordata; Actinopteri; Cypriniformes; Cyprinidae.
CCGUGUUGUGUUAUGUCAUCUCAGCGCGUUUCAUAGCGAUUGGUGAACAACUCAUCAUAAGUGGCAAAAGGGCCAAUCAAUAAGUACGUUGUAAGACUGAUGAGAAAUGCUACAGUAACCCAUACUGGAAGAGACAGGGCGCUUCCGGAACAACAACAUAACAUUCAUAGCCUGUAAAAGACGCUUGUGUUUCAAGGCAAAUUUCUGGGUACGAAACAGAUACAGUAGAAACUGAACGAUCUGUACACCAUGGUAUGAAUUCUGAUAAAAGCCAGCGUCUAUGUGGUGCGCAAGAUCCGCGCUGCCCUUACAGAGGGAGAGCAAGCAGAACAACCUGUGCUCACACCAUGUAGUCUGGCUAAAGGUAAAAAGGAGCGCUAUGCAUCAGACGCAGCAUUAAUGCCCGCUCCAGAGCCUGAGGGUGCUGCUGGGUCAUCUGCAUCU